UACGAAGGGGGCUAGCGUUGUUCGGAAUCACUGGGCGUAAAGGGCGCGUAGGCGGCUUUAUAAGUCGGGGGUGAAAGCCUGUGGCUCAACCACAGAAUUGCCUUCGAUACUGUAGAGCUUGAGACCGGAAGAGGUAAGUGGAACUGCGAGUGUAGAGGUGAAAUUCGUAGAUAUUCGCAAGAACACCAGUGGCGAAGGCGGCUUACUGGUCCGAUUCUGACGCUGAGGCGCGAAAGCGUGGGGAGCAAACAGG
RNAcentral lists this ribosomal RNA (253 nucleotides) under uncultured bacterium. RNAcentral's name for it is "partial 16S ribosomal RNA". It matches the Rfam family "Bacterial small subunit ribosomal RNA", at positions 524 to 776 of the family's 1533-position model. The record is from RNAcentral.